Molecule: small RNA, 3590 nt
Filed under: Pan troglodytes (chimpanzee)
Lineage: Eukaryota; Metazoa; Chordata; Mammalia; Primates; Hominidae
Description: retained intron
Source: RNAcentral
GAUUCUGGGAAAUGUCGAUCGGCUGUGGGCGGCGCACUGGGUCCGCCCCGCUGUAGCCUCAGGCCUGACGGCGACUCCCAGGCUCAGGGACGAUUCUGGGCAGUGUGGUUCCCAGAGGUCGGCGGCCGUUGCCCGCUCACCAGCGACGCGGGGGGCCUGCGGGGACGGUGAGGCCCUGCUGAGGACUCCGGCCAGUAUGAGUCCCGGGGGCGGCGGCGGGGCUCAGGCCCUGGGUCUGCCCCGCGGUGUGACCCCGGCCGGUGCCUUGGCUUUUCCUGGCCUUCGUGUCCUCCUAUGUAAACGCGGGGUGAUGACGGCGCCGACCUCUUGGCGCUGUUGUGAGAGUGAAGUGGGCGCGUGAUUAGACGCCAGCCACAGUUGUCUUUGGGUUAUGUCGUCAUGAAGCCGGCGCUCUACAGUUGUGUAACCUUGAACAAAUGGGUUCAGUAUCUUGGAAUUUCAGUUUUGUCAUCGUUUAAAAAAUAGAUCUGGAAAAAUGUGAACGCACACCGUGCAUAGUGAUGAAGAUUGAACGAGCUGAUAAAGUUUUUACCAUUGUUUUAUGAGGAUUUUAUUUACAGAGUAAUUGAUUUUCCUCGCAGGUGGCACCUGGUAAAUGGUUAGCCCUUGCGGAGAAACACCCUGUUAGUUCCCAGGGAGAGAUUGGCGCCCUGGAGAGUGAUUACCAGUGUGCCUUUCCAUUAUGGUGUGUCACAGGUGCCGCAAGAUAAGCCUGAUUUUUCAUGACUGCUUUUUCCUGCCCUUCUGUGCCCUCAGGACACUGCCCAUCUCUAAGAUAAGAGCCUGGAAAGAGGACUCUGUUGGCUGUUGGAAAUUGCAGAGUAAUGCCUCAGGUGACAUUUAAUGAUGUGGCUAUAGACUUCUCUCAUGAAGAGUGGGGAUGGCUCAAUUCUGCUCAGAGGGACUUAUACAAGGAUGUGAUGGUCCAGAAUUAUGAGAACCUGGUCUCUGUAGGUAAGGAUAUCACCUCUUCCACUCCAGUAGGGGACACCUUUCUUUUGCCACCCUGAAUUGCUGGAGACCCUCCUAAGUAAAUGGCUGAAUUUCUGUAGCAUGUUCCCAAGGAAAUGUGCAGCUCUCUUGUGCCCUGCCUGAAGCUUAUCUUUCCAUUUCGAUGAAUACCCUUCAUCCCUUCCUGUGGUCCCUCUUGUGAUGGCCUCUCCUAAUAGAGGACCAUGGCUUAAACAAUUUUGUAUUCUUCCUGUAAGCAGGUCUUUCCAUAACUAAGCCAUAUGUGAUCACGUUAUUGGAGGAUGGAAAAGAGCCCUGGAUGAUGGAGAAAAAACUGUCAAAAGGUAUGAUUCCACAUUGGGAAUCAAGAUGGGAAAACAAGGAAUUAUCAACAAAGAAGGAUAUUUAUGAUGAAGAUUCACCCCAAACAGUAAUAAUAGAAAAAGUUGUAAAACAAAGUUAUGAAUUUUCAAAUUCUAAGAAGAAUUUGGAAUAUAUAGAGAAGUUAGAAGGGAAGCAUGGAAGUCAGGUAGACCACUUCAGACCAGCAAUUCUCACCUCUAGAGAAAGCCCCACUGCAGACAGUGUUUACAAAUACAAUAUAUUUAGAAGCACCUUUCAUUCAAAGUCUACUCUUUCUGAACCACAAAAAAUUUCUGCUGAAGGGAAUUCACACAAAUAUGAUAUAUUAAAGAAGAACUUACCAAAAAAGUCAGUUAUAAAACAUGAGAAAGUCAAUGGUGGAAAGAAACUUUUGAAUUCUAAUAAAAGUGGGGCAGCCUUCAGCCAGGGCAAAUCUCUUACCCUUCCCCAGACUUGUAAUAGAGAGAAAAUCUAUACAUGCAGUGAAUGUGGGAAAGCCUUUGGCAAACAGUCAAUCCUCAAUCGCCACUGGAGAAUUCAUACAGGAGAGAAGCCCUAUGAAUGUCGUGAAUGUGGGAAGACUUUUAGCCAUGGCUCAUCCCUUGCACGACAUCUGAUAAGCCAUAGUGGAGAGAAACCUUACAAAUGUAUUGAAUGUGGGAAGGCCUUUAGCCAUGUCUCAUCACUUACUAACCAUCAGAGCACUCACACUGGAGAGAAACCAUAUGAAUGUAUGAACUGUGGAAAGUCUUUUAGUCGUGUGUCCCAUCUUAUUGAACAUCUAAGAAUUCAUACUCAAGAAAAACUCUAUGAGUGUCGUAUAUGUGGAAAGGCCUUCAUUCAUAGGUCAUCUCUCAUUCACCAUCAGAAAAUCCAUACUGGAGAGAAGCCUUAUGAAUGUAGAGAAUGUGGGAAAGCUUUCUGCUGUAGCUCACACCUUACUCGACAUCAAAGAAUUCACACUAUGGAGAAACAAUAUGAAUGCAACAAAUGUCUGAAAGUCUUUAGUAGCCUCUCAUUUCUUGUUCAGCAUCAGAGUAUUCAUACUGAAGAAAAACCCUUUGAAUGUCAGAAAUGCAGGAAAUCCUUCAACCAGCUUGAAUCACUGAAUAUGCAUUUGAGAAAUCACAUUAGAUUGAAACCCUACGAAUGCAGUAUAUGUGGGAAAGCCUUUAGUCAUAGGUCGUCCCUGCUUCAACAUCACAGAAUUCAUACUGGAGAGAAACCUUACGAAUGUAUUAAAUGUGGGAAGACCUUCAGCUGUAGUUCAAACCUUACCGUACAUCAGAGAAUUCACACUGGAGAAAAGCCAUAUAAAUGUAGUGAGUGUGGGAAAGCUUUUAGCAAAGGCUCAAAUCUUACUGCCCAUCAAAGAGUACAUAAUGGAGAGAAACCCAAUAGUGUGGUAAGUGUGGAAAAGCCUUUAGACUAUAUGAAUCACUAUACAUGUGAGAAAUCUUACAGAAGAGAAACUGUAUGAAGCAGUGGUUAUCAUGGUAAAUUUCCUAGAUUCUCCCUUAUUUAACAUUAGAAAAAUUUAUACUGGGGAAAGUCUUAUGAAUGUGGUGAAUAUAGGAAGACCUUUUAGCAAAGAUGCAGGCCAGUUUGUUUAUCAGACUUUAUACUGUAGAGAAAUCAUAUGAAGACCAUAAAUGUGGGAGAGCCUUUGUCAAUAUUAAUCCCUUAAUUGACAUAAGUAUACUCACACUAGGAUAAAACCCUGUACAUGUAGCAAAUGUGGGAAAGACUAUAGACAAUAGGAAUCUUUUACAAACUCCUACAGGAGAGAAGCUGUAUGAAUGUAGAAAAUUUAGAAAUUGAGGGAAGUCUUCAGUUCCAAGUAUAUCCCUUAUUCUACAGCAGAGAACUCAAAAUGGAGAGAAAUCUCAUUUAAGAGAUGUAGUGAAGUGUUCACUAAGAGUGUUUAUCUUGCUACGCAUCAGAAGAUUAAUGGUAGAACAACCUGAAGGAUUUAGGAGUUAUGUGUAAAUCUUUGCAGUCAUGCUAUUUGUAAACUGGAUUCUACAGGAGAGCAAAUAAACAUUAUAAUAAAAUAUGCAUUUCUUAGAGCAGUAGCUUGCAGUUUCAGUUGAGUUCUACUUAGAAAUUCUUUUUAGCUAGUAGGCAUGUGAAGAUAUUUAGUCACCCAGAGGAGCCAGUAAGUGUUAUAAUAUUGAAAAUUAAAGCUGCAAAAGAGAUAAAGUGAUGUUAAUAAAAGUUUUGGCAUCUAAUAAAAUCAUUUUGUAUAUCACAAA